This 299-nucleotide signal recognition particle RNA is filed under the name Saimiri boliviensis boliviensis (Bolivian squirrel monkey). RNAcentral's name for it is "Metazoan signal recognition particle RNA (ENSSBOG00000006144.1)". It matches the Rfam family "Metazoan signal recognition particle RNA". From Rfam's summary of the family: The signal recognition particle (SRP) is a universally conserved ribonucleoprotein. Lineage: Eukaryota; Metazoa; Chordata; Mammalia; Primates; Cebidae. The record is from RNAcentral.
GCCGGGCACGGUGGUGCAUGCCUGUAGUCCCAGCUACUCAGGAGGCUGAGGUGGGAGGAUCGCUUGAGCCCAGGAGUUCUGGGCUGCAGUGCGCUAUGCUGAUCGGGUGUCUGCACUAAGUUUGGCAUCAAUAUGGUGAACUCCUGAGAGUGGGGGACCACCAGGUUGCCUAAGGAGGGGUGAACCGGCCCAGGUCGGAAGUGGAGCAGGUCAAAACUCCCUUGCUGAUCAGUAGUGGGAUCAAGCCUGUGAAUAGCCACUGCACUCCAGCCCGGGCAACAUAGCGAGACCCUGUCUCU